Molecule: long non-coding RNA, 3164 nt
Organism: Callithrix jacchus (white-tufted-ear marmoset)
Lineage: Eukaryota; Metazoa; Chordata; Mammalia; Primates; Cebidae
Source: RefSeq, a predicted model, not a curated record
UUAUUUUUGAGACAGAGUCUCACUCUUUAACCAGGCUAGACUGCAGUGGCGCAAUCUCAGCUCACUGCGAUCUCCAUAUCCUGGGUUCAAGUGAUUCUCCUGCCUCAGCCUCCUGAGUGGCUGGGACUACAGGUGCUUGUCACCAUGCCUAGCUAAUUUUUUUGUGUUUUUAGUAGAGACAGGUUUUCAUCAUGUUGGCCAGGAUGGUCUUGAUCUCUUGACCUUGUGAUCCACCCACCUCAGCCUCCCAAAGUGCUGGGAUUACAGGCAUGAGCCACUGCGCCCGGCCUGUUUUACUUUUAAAUAUACAAUUAAAAUAUUUUUACUCUAGUCAACCUAUUGUACUCAAAUACUAGAUAUUAAUAAUCACAUCAUGGAGAAGGGGGUAUCUAUCCCCUCAAGCAUUUAUCGUUUGUGUUACAAACAAUCCAAUUCAUUGUUUUAAAAUGUACAAUGAUUAUUGACUAUAGUCACCCGGUUGUGCUAUUAAAUAGUAGGUCUUACUCAUUUUUUCUAUUUUUUUUAGCACCCAUUAACCAUCCCCACCUCCCCCUUACCCUGUGGAUUAAAUAUAUUAAAUAUAGACAUGAUAGUUGUUUAAAAGCUAAAUGUUGUCUGUCACGGCUUUUCCUAUUAGAAAUGAGAUAAUGCCCAAAGCACCUUGAAGAGUUAAGCUAUUUUAUUACAUAGGCUGCAGAAGGGCACAUGGAAGUUGAAAGCCUUACAAAGCCUUUUAUAGAUGACAUUGCUGGAUGCCUGCCAGACGAAAAGUCAGUAAAGGGAAUUACGGUAAUGCCACUUUCCAACGACCCAGUAACUUGUUGCAUUAAAGAUUUGGCUAUAAAAGUAAUAAGCGAAUUAAUACCUCUUCUGCAGAAUUGUACUUCUGCUUACCACUGGGACAAAUCUAGAAAUUUGACUGGGCUUGCUCUUCUGUAUGUAUUCAUCCAGUAUCAGCCCCAACUAAUAAUCACCAAAGAUCCUUCAUGGGAAUUACUUGGCAACAAAUGCAAGUCGUGGAAGAACUCCUUUGACAACGAAUUUGCUGCUUAGUAAGAAAUACAAAGCUUUGAAAAGCCUCUUAUGAAUCUCACAUUGUAUCCCGGAACAAGUCUAUUGACAUUAGCACGCAUGAUACAAAAGCUGAGGAAGCCAGAAUGAAGAAGACAGGCUUCAGAUCCAGACUGCAUGGGUCCAAGGCUGAGCUGAGCAGCAUCCUCUCUGGUUAUACUUCACAGCUGUGAAAUGCCAGAAGUAAGACCGUUCUGCACAGCAUGUAGUAACCUGAGAUGAAACAGGGAAGCUGCCCAGGAGUCCCGGUCUACGGAGAGAAACUCACCAGCAGGCAGCAAGCACUGCAAAUCAAAACAAGCAAAUGAGGCUGUGUGUAUAUGAUUUGAAAAUAGUAGAGUACUGUCCAAAUAUUAUUCAGAAAUUGUUGCUUGUCAUAUAAGCAGCCUUUAGUGCCUCACCCAUGAAAAUGGUACAUUCAAUACUAAUACCUUUGGCAUUUCGCCUUUUCUUUUCUUUUUUUUCUUUUUGACACAGUCUUGCUCUGUUGCCCAGGUUGGAGUGCAGGGCAUGAUCUCUGCUCACGGCAACCUCUGCCUCCCAGGUUCAAGCAAUUCUCCUGCCUCAGCCUCCUCAGUAGCUGGGAUUACAGGUGUGUGCUACCACACCCGCUAAUUUUUGUAUUUUUAGUAAAGACAGGGUUUCGACAUGUUGGCCAGGCUGGUCUCGAACUCCUGACCUCAGGUGAUCCACCUGCCUUGGCCUCUCUAAGUGCUGGGAUUACAGAUGUGAGCCACCCUGCCCGGUCACAUUUCACCUUUUCUCUUGAAAAGACCAAAACCUAAAGGAAUUAAUGGGCAGCCCCGUAGACAUUGUGAAUUUUAUAUGUCUUGUGAUCUGGGUUGGAACCCAUAGACUGGAAUAAAAGGUUUUCUGAAGCUUUGGAGCGUCUGAUAACUUAGGUGUCUUUUUCACCUAAUUGCUUUCCAUUUAAAUUAGAGGGCCAGGCACAGUGGCUCAUGUCUAUAAUCCCAGCACCGGGGGAGGCCAGAGAAUUGCUUGAGGUCAGGAGUUCAAGACCAACCUGGGCAACAGCAAAACCCUGUUCUCUACAGAAAACAAACAAACAAACAAAAAAAUUAAAUUAGAGAAUAAUUAUGUAAUAAGAAAUGUGCUGUUGACUCCCUCCUUAUGGAAUUAUAACCUCAGCGGCUGGCUGAAUCCAACUUCAUUUUUUCAAAUCCCAAGAAUUGGGCAAGUCCGGUGCCUGAGGCACUCACCACCAUGCUCAGGGUUGGCCAAGGGCUGAGGCACUGCUGGCACCCUUUGUCUCAUUUCAUGUGACACAUCAGAACUAGACAAGAUGGCUCAGAGAAGCACAGUGGUGGCUGCAUGUUACCAUGCACUCCAUUUCCUCUCAGGACAGGGUGCUGAGGUUUCCAGGAGAAUCGCCCCUCCCCUUUUGAUGUUACAUGGGAGGCAAACCAGGCUGCAGAGGUGUGACCCCCCGCCUCAUGCGAGUGAGCAAGCUUGCAGGUGAUUAAAGGGUUAAGAGGUGCUUCUGAGUGUGGGCACGGAGAAGAAAUGUGAACACUCAAAGCCUUGCCCUCUGUUCAGGAGGUCAUUUUCUGUUUGUAAUCCUUGCCCGUGCCCUGGAAUUCUGAUGUGGGCCUAUUCAUGCCCAUGGAAACCAGCCCUGCCAGGUCCUGGCACGGGCCUGGGAUGCCACCAAGCCAGCUCAGGAGCUCCCUGGUGGUCCUGGUCCCAACCCAGAUUUCCCUUUUGUUUCUUAAAUGGCUUUUAUCCUAAGCUCUGGGAAAAUAAUGUAAUCGAAGCUAAAUGAGAAUUGUGUCACGAGGUCUGCAGACCCUGAGCUUUGACUCAAAGCCUGACCUUUAGCACUGGUGCCUAAGCCUCACUCACUUCCACUUGCUCGCCUCUGGGAGCGGCCUUGGCUGAGGGGUGUGAUGGGGCAGCCACCUUGGCUUCCUUGUUGGGUGCAUCUGUGUAGAGAGGACCCUGGGCUCACCUUUCUCCUUCCUGCCUCAUGCUACCUUUCCCCCACAUCCCCAGUAGUAUUCUCUCUCCUAGGGAGGAGAGAGAAUAGGGCUGAAAGUUGGAAGGAAAAAAGUGGCUUCAACUUUAUUUGCAAU